Molecule: ribosomal RNA, 284 nt
Filed under: uncultured soil bacterium
Lineage: Bacteria
Description: partial 16S ribosomal RNA
Rfam family: Bacterial small subunit ribosomal RNA
Source: RNAcentral
AGAUUGAACGCUAGCGGGAUGCUUUACACAUGCAAGUCGAACGGCAGCGCGGACUUCGGUCUGGCGGCGAGUGGCGAACGGGUGAGUAAUAUAUCGGAACGUGCCCAGUAGCGGGGGAUAACUACGCGAAAGCGUGGCUAAUACCGCAUACGCCCUACGGGGGAAAGGGGGGGAUUCUUCGGAACCUCUCACUAUUGGAGCGGCCGAUAUCAGAUUAGCUAGUUGGUGAGGUAAAGGCUACACCAAGGCGACGAUCUGUAGCUGGUUUGAGAGGACGACCAGCC